AUCGACUUUUGGUUUUGUAUUGGAAUGAGUUAAGUAUAAACCCCUUUACAAGUAUCAAUUGGAGGGCAAGUCUGGUGCCAGCAGCCGCGGUAAUUCCAGCUCCAAUAGCGUAUAUUAAAGUUGUUGCAGUUAAAAAGCUCGUAGUUGGAUUUCUGUUAAUAAUUUAUAUAAAAUAUUUUGAUGAAUAUUUAUAUAAUAUUAACAUAAUUCAUAUUACUAUAUAUUUUAGUAUAUGAAAUUUUACUUUGAGAAAAUUAGAGUGCUUAAAGCAGGCAUAUGCCUUGAAUACUCCAGCAUGGAAUAAUAUUAAAGAUUUUUAUCUUUCUUAUUGGUUCUAAGAUAAGAAUAAUGAUUAAUAGGGACAGUUGGGGGCAUUUGUAUUUAACAGUCAGAGGUGAAAUUCUUAGAUUUGUUAAAGACAAACUAAUGCGAAAGCAUUUGCCAAGGAUGUUUUCAUUAAUCAAGAACGAAAGUUAGGGGAUCGAAGACGAUCAGAUACCGUCGUAGUCUUAACCAUAAACUAUGCCAACUAGAGAUUGGAGGUUGUUCUUUUAUCUUCCUUGAAA
RNAcentral lists this ribosomal RNA (566 nucleotides) under Cryptosporidium parvum. RNAcentral's name for it is "SSU rRNA". It matches the Rfam family "Eukaryotic small subunit ribosomal RNA", at positions 489 to 1097 of the family's 1831-position model. The record is from RNAcentral. Lineage: Eukaryota; Apicomplexa; Conoidasida; Eucoccidiorida; Cryptosporidiidae.